This 645-nucleotide long non-coding RNA is filed under the name Nicotiana tabacum (common tobacco). RNAcentral's name for it is "long non-coding RNA (NTAB_LNC016762)". Lineage: Eukaryota; Viridiplantae; Streptophyta; Magnoliopsida; Solanales; Solanaceae. The record is from RNAcentral.
CAUUAGGGGUUAAAAACCAAGCUGGAGACGUUUUCUAUAGUAUGAACUAAAUGACCAAUUAUUUGGUCGUCUACUGAUAACUAGAGCUAGAAAAUGCAGAGUAUCUUAGUAGUCCAGUUGAUUGGCUACCUAAAUUUCACCUUGUUUGUAAGAGAUUGAUUUCCCAUGUUGUAAAUCUCCUUCCUCAUUUUCCCUUGAAAAAAAUAAAUAGAAAAUGUGUAUGAAGUAGUCCUCAUUUUGCAGCUGGAUUUGCGAUCUUUAGUCCAUGUUCCAUGCUUUACACUAUGAUUUAAUCAGAAUAAUACAGUUCGGAAAGACAUGUUAGACUAGUCCCAUAAUUUUUUUUUUUGAUUUUGUUUUUCUAGAAUCAAAUCAAUCAAAUGGUAGGCAACAAGUUUUGAAAGUUCAAUCCAAGACCAAAAACAUAUGACUUUCUAGGAGACAAGUAAAAAAAGGAGAUAGUCAAGUACUAAUUGAUUUGUUGUGCGUUAGGUGUCCGCUUCUGAUCAUUUGUAAUUUUAUAAGUUGUUUUUUGAUUCAACGUCUCUUUUGUAUAAUUGGUACUGAUGCUAAAUUUUGUAGACCACUGCCACUGCUAAAAGAUAUGGAGGACUUAAGCCAAAGAAGAAGCCUUUGAUUUCAAAG